ACCGGUCUUCAGUCAAGGGUAUACGAGUAGCUGCGCUCCCCUGCUAGAACCUCCAAACAAGCUCUCAAAUGGGAUUUUUUUAAGAUAGAAAUUUUAAC
Molecule: small RNA, 98 nt
Filed under: Ictidomys tridecemlineatus (thirteen-lined ground squirrel)
Lineage: Eukaryota; Metazoa; Chordata; Mammalia; Rodentia; Sciuridae
Description: 7SK RNA (ENSSTOG00000030484.1)
Rfam family: 7SK RNA
About the family: 7SK was discovered as an abundant small nuclear RNA in the mid-70s but a possible function has only recently been suggested.
Source: RNAcentral